GUCGGGUUGGUGUAGUGGUUAUCACGAUCGCCUCACACGCGAUAGGUCGCGGGUUCAAUCCCCGCAUCCGAUA
This is a transfer RNA of Blastocystis sp., 73 nucleotides long. It matches the Rfam family "tRNA". From Rfam's summary of the family: Transfer RNA (tRNA) molecules are approximately 80 nucleotides in length. Their secondary structure includes four short double-helical elements and three loops (D, anti-codon, and T loops). Further hydrogen bonds mediate the characteristic L-shaped molecular structure. tRNAs have two regions of fundamental functional importance: the anti-codon, which is responsible for specific mRNA codon recognition, and the 3' end, to which the tRNAs corresponding amino acid is attached (by aminoacyl-tRNA synthetases). tRNAs cope with the degeneracy of the genetic code in two manners: having more than one tRNA (with a specific anti-codon) for a particular amino acid; and 'wobble' base-pairing, i.e. permitting non-standard base-pairing at the 3rd anti-codon position. NCBI's taxonomy places the organism in Eukaryota, Bigyra, Opalinata, Blastocystidae. The record is from Rfam.